Molecule: small RNA, 29 nt
Filed under: Bombyx mori (domestic silkworm)
Lineage: Eukaryota; Metazoa; Arthropoda; Insecta; Lepidoptera; Bombycidae
Description: ovarian small RNA-37303
Source: RNAcentral
UUCCUCAGUUUGUGCCGAGUCUUGAUGGC